CGUAUUUUUCCGAAAAGCAAGGGCCUAACAAGUUUAUGAGCGAAGGUGAACAGUUUCUUGCCACAGACCUGAAAAAUGGCUCAAGAAGUUGCGGACGCAUUGCUGGAAUGCAAAGUUGGAUUCAUAGGUGGCGGUAAAAUGGCCCAAGCCAUGGCGAAAGGCUUCAUAUCUUCAAAGAUAUUAAAGGCCUCGAAUGUUUUAGCCAGUGCAAGAACUGAAGAAACCUUGUCUAAAUGGACGGAUAUUGGCUCUCAUGGAACAAGAGACAACUGCAGGGUUGUACAAGAAUGUGACAUAGUGUUUCUCUGUGUCAAACCGUAUCUUUUGGGGAAACUACUUGAAGAAAUAAAGCAUGUUGUAACUGAGAAGCAGCUGUUUGUGUCUGUUGCAGCAGGGGUGCCUCUAGAAUUCAUGGAAGAGGCUUUACCCAAAGGUUCAAGAAUUGUCAGGACCAUUCCUAACACACCAUGUCUUGUCCAAUCUGGUGUAAUUGCUUACACUCCAGGUGGCUGUUGUACUUCCACAGAUGUUAAAGUUGUGCAUCACCUUCUCAGUUCUGUUGCCUCAGCUGAAAAUGUGCCGGAGCCGCAGAUAGAUAUAAUCUCAUCUCUGUGUGGAAGUAGUGUUGCCUGGUUCUAUAUGAUGAUUGAGGGAGCAUCAGAUGGGGCUGUGAAGGUUGGUUUACCAAGAAAACUUGCUACUGAGUUGGCUGCGAGAGCAAUGGUUGGUGCUGGAAAUAUGGUUUUGAAAACAGGAAAGCACCCAGGAGAGCUCAAAGAUGAAGUUACAUCACCAGCUGGGUCAACAAUUGUAGGUAUUCAUAGCCUUGAGAGGGAUGGCAUGAGAGGAAGUUUUAUGUCUGCAGUUGAAGCUGCUUUUUUAAGAAACAAAGAAAUGAAUCCAAAAUCAAAGUAAUACAACAGAAUGUGGAUAAAAUUGCAUUUCUUUUUAAUGAAGUUAAAAUAUCAAUUGGUUGCGAAAUGAAAUAUUCAGAGAAAGGCCUUGUAGCAGAUUGCAUGACGUUUGAUCACUAACUGUGCCAACAGCUUGGAUAAGGUAUUGAAAUUUAGUAAAGACUAAGUCUCGAAUUAUGCUCAAGCAUUCGCCUGCAGUUCUAAAUCAGCAUAAUAUUUAAUUGUCUUGGGUAAAUUAUGCUUCAUUUUGGUUUUCGUUUGCGUACAUAUGCUCUCUAUACUUCCACUUGACCGUCGUUCAGGAAAGACAGAGAGUUUUCAUAGGGCUUUUCUCUUCAAGAAUCGAAUUCAUGUAUUUUGGUGGGUACUUAAAACUGAAAUUGAAAGCAGCAGUCAUUCAAACUUGUUUUUAUAUAGUUGAGUUAUGUUUUAAACAUUAUUUUAUGUCAGAUUUUAGUUGAUGUGUUAUUAAGCUAGAUCAAAACGGAGUUGCUUACCAUUCCCUGUUUAGAAUUUCUUCCCAGACUAACAGGAAAUUGUUGUUGUAUUUUUGUAGGAAUGAUUUUAUCAGCAUUCAUUGAACUAGCGUAAAGAAUCUACGAGUUUUAAUUAAUCUAGGUUUUUGUCAUUCAAUGGGUACGACUUAUUUAUGAGUAAACAAUUAGAAUAAAAAUAUAUCUUGAAAGGAAAUCAUCAAUAAAUCUCUCUCUAAAGUCUUCUAAUUCGUCAUCAGUUAUCAUUCGUUAGUAUUACCAUCACAGUUGUCAUUUUCGACCUGGUCCUGUCAUCAACAUCGUCAUCAACAUUAUAAUCAUCGUUGUCAUCAUCAACAUCAGCGUCAUAAUCAUCUUCAUGAUCUAAUUUCUUAACUUGGUAUUUUGAAGUUAAAAACCACGGAGCCAGAGAGGCCAAUUCAAUCAUUUGCAGCAUAGUAGCCGAACAGUCUUUUCAUCAAAGGAAUUAAACUGCUUCUAAAACUGGAUUUUUUAUUAUAAAAAAUAUUGAAAGAGAAUAUUAAGACGACUUACUUCUACCAACACUAAUUUCUUUUUCAAACCGACUUGGAAGCAAUCCUUGUGCCAUUUUUUAACUGCUGUUAUUUGCGAGUUAAUAUUAAAAAGUCAAAGUCAAUUUAAUUGAGGUUGUAAUUGAAGGCUUAGCUUAAUAUUUUGACAUUUAUUUUAACUAAAAGCGGAUAACCCAUCGAGCCAAUUAGUUAUAAACAUGAUUUUAGGAUAUUUGAUUUUUUCUGAAUCCUGUCAUAGUCUGAACCAGUUUUAAAAUCUGCUGCUCAAUCGAGUUUGGGUUUGUAUGGAAAUUCUCAGACAGACGUCUAUGAAAUCAGCUUCUAAGGAAAACAUUCAGCAAUAACAAGUUGACUUUACUAAGCAUAUCAAGUAGCAUAACCAACUCUUUUAUCAUUGUACACUGCAGAAACAUUUUGUAUGAAAGAGAACAUUUUAUAGGGCUGCAUCCAAGGGUUUACUUUGGUGGCGUCUUAAAAUACUUUUGCGUGGUUUCUCCUUGGCUUUGCCUCUUUGUAAAACCGUUUUAACACUCCUUUCAUCGAGUAAGCCAAGUGUCUAAGGUAAAAUGAUUAGAAGUGAAAGCAUAGUGGAGAUUUUUUGGAGUAUUUAAUGAAUCAAAAUGUCUCAUUUUUGUCAGAAUGCCAAUACUUUUUGAGACUUUUACAUUAAUUUCCCAAAUAUGUUGCUGCCUUAUUGCCAAUCAAUACAUCUAAAUAUUUUUUUAGUUUUUCUGUGACUGGAGUAUCAUCUAUUUUGAUGCGAAUUUUAGAUUCUGAAUUUUUACCAUAAGACUUGAUCAUGAAGUUUGAUUUUGCGACAUUUGGGGAUAGCCUCUUUGCAGAAAGCCAUGUUGAAACUGUUAAAAUAAAUUUACAGUUUUUUUAACGUUCGAUUGGGUUGCUAUGGGUAAAGAAGAUGCUAGUAUCUUUAGCAAAGAGAUGAAUUUUAAGAAUGCGUGAGGACGUCGUGUCUAUACAAAAGAAAAAUGAGAUUGCUUAUAAUAUGUAUCUGUUUUUUACAUGCAGAUAAAACCCUGUAAUUUGGUGAUGUUUGAUCAGAGACUUUGCCCCAUUUAACUUAGUAUAACUUUGCCCCAUUUAGUAGAGUAAAGAAAUAAUUGCGGGACAUGCGAAAAUUCCGGGGCAUCCUCAGCAAAAAAUUCCAAGUUAAAUUUUUUGCAACCAUAAGUCAUAGCGACCUGAAUGAAACCAUUUUCGCGCUUAUUUUUCGAAGUGACCUUAGUUUCAGACGUUUCCGCUUCCUGGGAUAGUAGUUUUGUCUUCCGGUCACUUUUUAACAUCCAACAGUUGUCAGCUUUUGAGUUAUCAACAGAGCCUAAAAUAAGAAAUUUUUACAGAUCCACAUUUUUUAUAAAAAUUGGAAGUGGUACUUUCCUGGGAUUGGCAUCAUGGGGGUGGCAAAUAAAGAAACUGCCAUCAUAGUGCAAAUAGCAUGUCUUAAUUGGGCAAAUUCUUUAAUUAAUGUAGUAUAAGUAGCAAAAGCUGAUUCUUCACAAUAUAUGGAUUAAUAAGAAAAUUAGCUACAUAUAGCGAUGUCUUAUUUUACAUGGUUUGUUCGGAUCUCUGUCAUAGUUGUUUUAUUUCCUUUCACUUUCAAAAACUUCCUUAAAUCAGCCUUGCUUCUCGGACUUUGGUGUUUUUUGGUUUUUUGGAGCCAUAUCUUUGCAGCUUUUCUCGGAACUCAAAACUUGCGAGGUCAAGCAUAUUCAUUGAAAUAUUUAUCUAUUUGUUUAGUUUUUCUAGAGCUAUGCUGCUUUUCCCACCUGCUUCUAUCUUGUUGUAGGUGGAAAUCAGCCUCUUCACAUUGACAGAAUUAGGGAUUCGCGAGAAUCCGAGCCAUUGUCCUGUCUGGUAGAAUUCCUCUGAGAACAAGUCUCAGACCUCUGCGAUCUUAGUCGUUUAUUUCUCAAAAUUUGAUGCAUGAUAUAUUGAAUGAAAUAUUUUGUCCCGGACAAAAGCUGGGUGAAGCUUUCUUAAGUCUCUUUUACUUAUGGAAAGUUCUUAACUGCAUUCAGCCCAUCAAAUUCUUUGCCACCAAAUCUGUUCUUCAUAAAGUUUAACGAAAUCUAUAAACGAAAACCUCGUUACAGAUGGCAAAUAAACUCUUCUCUCACUGAUUGUGCUUGUUUCUUUUUAUUCUCUUUUCACCCAGUUUUAAAGCAUGAUCUUUACCCCUAUCUUAUUUGUAAUGCAGAAACCACCCAACAGAUCUCAAUUUUGGAAUUACGCCAAAUUUGUCAUUAGAUUGUGCAAAAAUUAUGCUAGAUUUCAAAGCAAGGCAACCCUGCUCGAGAAAGAGGCUAAUGCAUGCUCAGAAUAUCAGAAGUGGCCAGAGUUGCAAUUUGGCCUUUUUGACAACAUAGUGUACUCAUUCUUCAUAAACAAAAAGGCAAUUUAGAUCCAUGGUUUGGUGGGCAAAUUUCUCCAUUUUGACAGUUUCUCAAAACCCCUUGGUCGUCAUAAAUUGAUUGAGCCGAAGAAGCAAAACUUGGCUGAAUUCUGGCAGCAUGUUGCAAAAAACAACAAAAAUGCAAAGGAAACAAAUGCGAAGGUUUUUUGCACAGAUAAUAUUCAAAACUUUUUAAGAUAGUUUCAAAAUUGCAAAUGAUGAAUGAUGAAACAAAGCAAAAGAUAACAGACAAUUUUAGAUCAAAGCAAGUGAAAACUUUUGUAACCAACAAAGCAAAUUUUGAUAACGGUAUCACUCCCAAUAAUAAGCAAAAAUUUAGCUUUUUUGUAUACUGCGUUUAGCUGGCUACAUUUGGCCGCCAACUACAAAAUAUGUGGCUGCCAACCAUCCAGAACAACUGGCAAAAUCCUGAAGGUGGAAAGUCACAAUUUACUCCCAAAAUGAAACCACAGAUGCUGGUGUAUAGUGUUUGCAUUUGGUAACGAUAGACAAUGGAUCCAUUAAAACAAUGAUUCUUUUAAAAAAUAUCAGAAUUAUGCCAGAGUUAUGCUAGAUUCAAAAUUAUGCUAGAUUUUAUGCUUAAUGGCGAUUCUUGGCAAAUAUUAUUCUAAUAUUACGCUAGAUCACAUCACACUAGCACCAGCCCACAAGAGAGUGGUUGGAACGGGACUAGUAGGCUUGCCUCUAAAUUUUUUACGGCCACGCUCUUUCAAAUACCGGAAAACACUCUUUUCAAAAAAUGUUUGUUUCUUUCUGUCCUUAUUCAUAAACAUAACGAUUUAGAGAAGAUUUCAAUUAACAUAAAAAUAUAAAACCGAGUUAGAUAAAUUACAAAUAAAGCACCUUCACACAAGAACAGACCACACAAGAUUAAGCACCAUCAAAAAGAACAAAAACGUGUUUCCAGCAGAACUGCUACUAAUGCGUUCGUUAGCCUCAACUUUCAAAACAUUUUCUAACCUAUUAUUGCAAAAAGUUGGGGAGGACUAUAGUCCCUGUCUUGCAACAUUCCCAAUUGAAUGUUCCUCCCAGCUACCACCGAGAGGCUUAUCAUCGUUCAGCUGCUGUAGCCUUGAGAAGAAUCUUUCCAAUGCUUUUCCAAUUUAAAACACCUUAGAUGAAUUGCUUUAUAACUUUUUCUGACAUCUACUGAAAGAUAUCACAUAAACCCCAAAAUACAUUACGGGCAGAAAAUCAUAAUCUCGGUCUUGGUCUUUAAGCUCAGUGUCUUUUUUGAAGCAAGUCAUAAAAGCAAACUAAAUUGAGAUGAUGUCUUGAAGUUAAAGCUGUAUACAGAGUCCAUCUUGCUUUAAGAAAGCACACAACAAUAUCCUAAAGCGCAAUUGAUUUUUCUCCGCAUGUACUGAAGCUUCGAGCCCUGAAGUUUCUUAAUUCUUCUUUAUUGUCCAUUGCUUAUUUCUUAUUGCAACUUUCUUUUAAAAAAUGAGUGCAAUACAUAAGACUGGGAUUGGGCUUUCACUUCGAAUUGAAAAAAUGUUCCCAUUUCUUUCUUAGGCGUUAUGAUUGGUAUUUUAUGCUGCACUUUUAAGAACAUGCAUUGUUUACAAGUUCACGCUUUCUACAAUUACAGUUCCACAAUUUUAAUUUACAACUCAACAAAGUGAGUCAGAUCCACGCUUAUUUUAGGUUCUGGUUAUCAAUGGGAGUGGUUAGGAUUUUGACAUUGGGGGAGGGAGGAAGCAAUUUUUUUAUAAACACAUAAAAAUGACUAUAUCUAAAUGUUAAACGUACAACGGUAACUUACAAUCAUGUAUAAACCAACACAGUCAUGGCAGAGAGGGUUAAGAAGCAACAUGUGCUACUUCUCAAACUCAAUUCAUCUGCACAUUGCAAAUUAUACCCUAUGAAUAUUUGUUCUGCAAACGCGUUUGUUUGGAGACCCUCUUGGGUAUCGGGAGACAUGGUCAUCCUGCUUCUUUUUUACUAUCACUGGAGUUGUCUGUAUAAGUCCGUUAAGCUGUAGCGUCAUUAACGACACAGUUGUUGUGCUCCUUGCAAGUUAUCGCAAUCUUUGCAAUUUAGUAAUUUUUGUAAUGUCAUCUUAACUUCCAAAUUUUUUUCGCACUCAUUGUUUCAAAAGGCACAUAUGUGCCCUAAAUUUGCGCCAAGUGGAUUGCAGCUCUGCAAUGAUGUGCCGAGAGUAAAUUCAGAACGUUUAUCAAGCUAGCCCAAUUUACUGGCUCAUACAAACGUGCCCUAAGUUUCCAUCUUCUGCAUAUUUUGACAGAACAAGUUCUCCAACUAUUGGCUGCAUCCCAAAAAGCUGAAAGAAGACAUUUAUCUUUGCAGGAUAAGGAUUAUAAGUGAUGUUAAUUACUCUAGAUAAACCAACAGCUUUCUGAUUGUUCUUAUGCUAAUCAGUUUUAAUUAGGAUAAGGUUUUCAUAAUCAUUAUUCAUGUUCUCGUUAAUUUUUUGAUUUGUUAAAAAUGAUUCAAUUCUAAUCACCGAGACUUAUUAAAAUAAGCAUAAUUAAAUAGCAUUAGCAUCCUAUAGUUUGCAUGUAUUAAGCCUGCUUAAAAGAUUUGAAUAUCAUUUUAAAAACCAUUUUCUUGAAGAAGCAAGCCAUUUGCUAAUAAUAGCAAUUUUUCAUAUUUUCAAUGGAAAACCAUGAUCAACAAUCAUCAUCAUCAUCAUCAUCAUUAUCAUAAUCAUCAUCAUCAUCAUCAUCAUCAUCAUCAUCAUCAUCAUAAUCAUCAUCAUCAUCAUCAUCAUCAUCAUCUUUUCAUCAAAGAAUCAAGCCGGUCUGCUAAGAGCUAGGUCUUCAAUUUCAUGUAGUUGUGGUGCAGCAGAGUUUGUAACAACAUUCCUGCAGAUUCCGCAGAAAAUAAUUGUUAAGAUAAUCAUAAUACAAAAAGGGCAACAAAGCUUUUUAAAUUUCCUAAUGCUUUUCUCUGUCAGGUUUUGCAUGCUAAAUUCCACCAUUCGUUUUGGUAUCGUAUUGUUUAAGUGCUUGGGUAAGUUUUUGCAUUACCAAAUUGUCAUGCGUUUGUGUACCGAAACGCAUGACACCAAUAAGGUAUUUUACCUCAUUGCAUGCACUGAUUUUUUAAAGAUCAGUGAUUGCAUAGCCUGCGCGCAGCCUCAGACACUUUUAUCCCGAAGAGUACUUCUACCUUCUAUCUUCUCUACAUGAUUGCAUGACACCGGCUUACCUCGUUUGCAAUUAUAAAAGCCUCGUUAAUGUUUCGUUCCGAAGAGGACAAUCUUUGGAAGAGGAUGUAAAUAAGGACAAAGGCCAUGGGUCAAACAGAUUUGAAGCUCAGUUGAAAAGUAAAGACCGCAUGCUAUUCAGACAGAGAAUGAGAAUGAGAUUCAGAAUGAGAUUCGACAUCAGAAUGACAUACAGAAUGAGAUUCAAUCCGAACCACGAAAGACUAAAACUGUCUAAAAUGUAUUUCUGAUGUUUGAUUUAAUCAUUUCUAAGCCAUCUUGUCUAAAUGAUUCUUUUAGCACCUUUUUACACAAAAAAACUGAGAAUUGCGGGCGAAAUUUUCGCGUUGUUUCCUGUCUACAUAUGGGGUCCCUAUGGUCGAAAAAAGGGUAUUUUGCCGGGCACGAAACAAUCAACGAUAUCUUCCAAAAACAAGAAGCAAUUCUCAAAAUCUUUUCUGCGUAAAAAAGUACAAUAAGUAAAUUAUCCGAAAUGAUUUUAUUUGACAACGAAAGCUCUUUUUAUCUGGCAGAACUCACUCGAUUUUCCUCAGAAUGAGAUUCAAUCCUUUAGGCCCUCUAGACGUAAACAACACCACUGCAUAUCAACGAAUUGAUGCUGAAAACCAGGAGUUUUUCAUAAAAUCCUCACAAUUACAACAAAAUAUGCCAAAUUUAAUGAAAAAUUGUAAAUUUUUGCGACAACGGGCUGGAAAUGUUUCUUUUUAAAAACGCAUAUUCACCAACGGUAGCCCUGUGAUCGAUGACCAGAAUGAGGCCAGAAUGAGAUUCGAAAAAGCCGUCGAUAUCUCCAGAACGAAUGAAGUAAUUUCCUAAAUUCCUUCGGUGUAAAAAACGUUAGCACACUGUUUGUCGAGAAUUAUUUCACCCAGUAACAAACUCAAGCCAUGAAACCUUGAGUGAAAUCAGUAAAAUCUGAGAUCAUGGGGUGCACAAAUGCCAAUUUGUAUGCAAUUUUAUAUCGAAUCACCCAGCUGUUUGUGUCAGUUGCAGCAGGAGUGCCUUUAGCAUUCAUAGAAGAGUUGAAAUGUCAAUUGGUUGCAGAAUAGAAUAUUCAAAGAAAAACCUUCUAGCAGAAGGCAUUGCGUUUGAUCACCAACUGUGCAAGAAGAAUUGAUCAGGAAACCGAUGUGGCUUGGAGGAGGAUCGUGGCUACCCCCAGAUACCCUCCUCAGACGGUUUCUUAUUGGCAAGAUUUCUUUGUCCAUGUGAUCAGGACUGUUGUAAGCGUUGAAAGGCGGGGAAGGACAAAAGGAAGAGGUUAUAAUGGCUCAAACCAUUUAAGCCAAAAUGGCUAUACUUUAAAAUUUGGGCAAGUGCCAGUGAUGAUGUCCCUCAGUUCCAAAGAUCGAUACCUUCUUGGUCUAUCACAAGAAGCAAGAAAUUUUAGUUGUAAGAAAAUCACGUGUUGUUGCAUAUUCGAAAGGGUCCGUAGAGGUGUAUUUGUAUUUGUUUCUACCUACCAUCCGAAGGUAGUUUUUAGGACACUGAGAAGCUUAUGCUUAUCGUGCAGUGUCCUGGACCUAACUCUCGAUGUGACCACACCUCGUGAUUCCUACGCAAGGAGUGGAUAGAGCUGGCGACUCUCCUCACUCUGAUGAAGGUUUGGUAACGCCAGGGACUCGAACUACGAGCCCUUGUAGUCAACGCCUCUAACAACUGAGCAAUCCUCGCACUCAAAACUGUAGGG
Molecule: non-coding RNA, 9255 nt
Organism: Rhopilema esculentum
Lineage: Eukaryota; Metazoa; Cnidaria; Scyphozoa; Rhizostomeae; Rhizostomatidae
Source: RefSeq, a predicted model, not a curated record